This 253-nucleotide ribosomal RNA is filed under the name uncultured bacterium. RNAcentral describes it as "partial 16S ribosomal RNA". It matches the Rfam family "Bacterial small subunit ribosomal RNA", at positions 524 to 776 of the family's 1533-position model. The record is from RNAcentral.
UACGAAGGGGGCGAGCGUUGUUCGGAUUUACUGGGCGUAAAGGGCUCGUAGGCGGCCAACUAAGUCAGACGUGAAAUCCCCAGGCUCAACCUGGGAACUGCGUCUGAUACUGGAUGGCUUGAAUCCGGGAGAGGGAUGCAGAAUUCCUGGUGUAGCGGUGGAAUGCGCAGAUAUCAGGAGGAACACCAAUAGCGAAGGCAGCUCGCUGGGACGGUACUGACGCUAAGGCGCGAAAGCGUGGGGAGCGAACAGG